UUUUUUUUUUUUUUUUUUUUUUUUGUCUUUUUGCCUUUUCUAGGGCUGCUCCCAUGGCAUAUGGAGGUUCCCAGGCUAGGGGUCUAAUCGGAGCUGUAGCCACUGGCCUAUGCCAGAGCCACAGCAACACGGGAUCCAAGCCUAAUCUGCAACCUACACCACAGCUCACAGCAAUGCCAGAUCCUUAACCCACUGAGCAAGGCCAGGGAUCGAACCCACAACCUCAUGGUUCUGGUCGGAUUCGUUAACCACUGUGCCACGACGGGAACUUCCGAGGUUCAGGUUCUUUAUGCCUCCACGAAAAAGGAAUUCAGCGAGAGACAAAGUGAUAGACAAGAAUUAGAUUUAUUAGGAUAGGAUGCCUGUGAAAAAUGCAAAUGGGCAGGCAAGGAGGCUCUGCCCUGAGGAUCUGGUGGGCUACAGUUUUAUCCAAGAGGAGUGGGGGUCGGAAAAGACCUCCUCCUUUCUGGGAGUAGUAGCUUCUCCUUAGUAUCCGGGGAAGGCAUGUAUUCAAAUCAGCAGAAGGACUGAACUCAACUCCUGCCCUUGGUCUGAAUCUGAAUGCAGGCCUCAUCCCAUCCCCCACCCAACCACCUGAGGCAAUUCUCGCAUCCCCACUGGUCAGGCAAACCUGCCUUGUUCUGAUGGCUUUUUUGAGCAAUUUAUUAAUUUACAGUGACUUCCCAACAUCCCCUAGAUUUCCCUCUCUAUCUAGGAUCCUUUAUUAGGACUUCUACCACCACCUGUGCCUACUCCAUCCCUAUCAAGACCAGGGAUCGAAGUGCAUCCUCAUGGAUACUAGCAGGGUUCUUAACCCAAUGAGCCACAAUGGGAACUUCCAUCAGCCUAUUUUUAACUUCAGUGAGCAGAAUAAGCCCAGGAAGAGUUUCAGUUAAGCUUUGUAUCCUCCUGAUAGAGAAAUACAUGUUUUUUGGGUUGUUGUUUGUUUGUUUUUUCCUAUUUAGAUGUAUCAUUUACAAGCAGCAAUUGACAGUUUUGCAGAACUAAUGUUAGAUCUUGUGGUUCUUUAAGAUCUUACUUAGGGUGCUAUGAGUGUGUCUAUAAUCACCCUUCUCUGCCAAGUUCAAUUCCAUAGAGCUUUUUAUCCUUGAAUGUGUUCAAUAAAUGUUAAGACUGGCUAAGUAACUGGAAGAAAGCUAUUAAUCACUUGCGAAGCUAGGUGGUAGUGAUUGAGUAAAGAGAAAUCUGAACAUUUUUCACAGGUCAAAAUGUGCAAGGUUAGUGUGAUUGUGUUUUUGAUUUUAAAUGCCUGUCAAAUGAAGUAUGAAUUUUAACCUACUUAAUUUUGCUGAUUGUUAGAGAAAGGAAUAAUGGAGAGUUGAUUCAGUCAGAACUGGAAGCCAUUUGUGCACUUGAGCAUAAUUAAUUCGUACAUACAUUCUGGUGAGUAUAUGGCUAUUACUACUUUUAAACUAAAGGCAGAACAUACCAGUGGAAAAUUAGUUUGGAGCAAGAACUUCAUACUUUUUAUUCUGCUUAUCAUGCCAGGAUGCCUGUUUAUUAAAAAUCAUAACUCCUACACAAAAAUUGUAAUAGUAGUCCUGAUUUAAAAUGUCAUUAAAAUGAACAUGGCUGGAAGUAAGUAGAUUUGAGAAGAACCAGACUUUAGUUCUUUGUGUCACUACUCACUCUUACCUCUCCAAAAAGACCAUCAUCUAUGUUCCAUUUCUGCCUUUUUCUCAUCUGAAAUUUCCAGAGCUGUUGUAGGAGAAAAUGUCCCGAUAAAAAGGCAGAAAGGAGAGACCCCAGCGGCCACAAUGACUAAGCAACGUCCAGCAACGGCCCCAACCACCCCUCCCCACACGUCUGCUUCUGUAAACUUGUUUCCGCAUCUAUUACUUUGCCAGAUCUCACUCUGGUCCGCCAAGCACGGACCCGGAAGAACGAGCCCAUAAAAGCCUUGCGAAGCCCCUCUUCCGGGCUCAGACGCCAGCGUAAUACACCUGAGUUCUCCACCUGGCCGAGCGCUCGCUUGGGUAGAAGAGCUGAUCCGCUGCAGCCACAGAGCUGCUGGAGCUGGCAACUACCGCCACAGGGCUGUCGCCAGAGCUGAUACGCUGCGUCGCAGGGCUGCUGGGCAGCUGCCGUAACAUUUCUGGAGGCCUCAGUGAGAUUUCAAUUGUUCUGGCCCCUUGAGCCACCCAAAUGGAGGCAAGGCCGCCCAGUAGCCGGGGAGCCUCGAACCCAACGAGGCAGCGCACCACCCAACGGUAUCCCAGGUCCUCCUUCAUGAGCGGCACUCCUGACUCCCAGGUGACCGAACCCCGACUGGACUCAGUGGAGAGACGGACCAACUCACCAGGAAGGCGUCUGGACAAGGUAAGGCCCCAGGCCAACCCCAGUCAGGUCCUGCCCCAGCGGGCAGAAGAGGGGGCUGCUCACCCCCUGAGGGUGCCUCCUGAUCAGAAGCAGAGGAGCCUCUUGCUCGGGUGGAGCAACGGGCAGGUGUAGGUGAUUGAAAGUUGGGCUUGAUGGAGCUGCUAGUUAGGGACUCCCAGGGAGUGGGAGGCAAUGUGAUAACCUCUGAGUGUGUGUGAGGGUGAAUGAGCGGCCUGAUUCGCUUGCGCUUCAGGUUCGAGUUUGUGGCUCCACGGUCUUCGUGGCUACGGAGUCCGAGUGGGUCCCAACCUGCAGUUCCGUGGUGACCUCAUAUGGCUUAUGGCUGUAGCGGACUCUGAGGGUUCUCUUCCCUCCCUGCGAGUCCAAUCCAAGUUCGGGGCUUAUACGAACCAGCCCAUUGCUAAGAGGCACCUAAACUCCCGAGAGGGGGGCGGUCAGGCGGACAUCUGAAUGGCCACCUUCUGAGAAGGGGGCACCCUCCCUUGUUUUGUCUGCGACACCGGCACAGGGCGGCCACACGGGGUGGGACCUAACCCAGAAGCUCAUGAGCCAGAGACCCCUGUGCUCCCACCAUUUGGGCCAUAAAUUCCUCUGAGGAGAUAAUCUAACUUGACCUUGCCCCCAGGCCUCCAGGAACUCCCAUCCCAGAUUCUAAACCAGACAUGGGACUGCCCAUUUUGUUAGUUCAUGGAGGCCCAGGAUCUGAGUCAGGGAGGCAAGCCUGUCAUCAGGGUAUAGGGAGGAUUGGGUACGAGGUCCCCUGUCCUUUGCCCAAAACAUCAGAAUGUGUCUGAGAGUGUCUCCCCGAGAACCGGGGCCUAGAUGGAUCAGAAACACUUGCAACAAAGCAGGUGCUCUCCCCGGUCAUAGAGCGAGCUGAGUGGGAGCUGUCUUGCUUUCAGGAGUGGCGGAGGCAAAGCUACUGGGGAUACUGCCCAUGAGGUCAGAGAAGGUCUCAUAAUAUCAGGCCAUAGAUGAGAUCCACAGAAAGACACUGUGGGUUCGCCCAAGUCCAAACCCAUGGUCCUAGACUGUGUGAUCAAAGAUUUCAAAAAGGGAUUUUCUGAAGAUUAUGGUGUAAAACUAACCUGACCUUUCAUCAUUUCCUUUGCUAUUACCUCGAAUGGAGCUGUGGGGGCAAAGGAAACAGACCUCUAGAUGUUAAGACCACCCCGAGUUGUUACCAUGCCUGUGGGGGAAAAGGAGUUCAUAACUAGUAUCCAUCCAACUCGGGCCAAGUGUUAGCCUCAGAGCCUGGGCAUAGUCAGUUCUGCUUUUUGCAAUUUACAUUUACCCUGGUUGGAGGAAUCGAUGGCUGGUUCAUCCAAUUUACCUGUUAACUGUGGCUUAGAAACUAGAGGGCAUGUCAAAGCAAGCAUCCUAGGAUUUGAAAACUAAGGGCAGGGGCUGUAUGCCUGGGUUUUCUUCAUCUCUGUCCAGAGACAGGCAAUGGGCAGGGAUGACGGGACGGGAGGCUAUGCUGGAAAAGAGUGGUUAAUUCUAGUCAGCCUGAGGACGGAUGGGACAUUUGACCACUGGUGUCUAGCGGCUCCAUCUAAGAGAGGGGAUGCCCUCACAUAACCAAGAAGGGACAAUAGGUGCUGGAUGCUGGUCUUUUCUUUUUUGGAUGGGAGCCACCUCCUCGAGCCUGGUGCAUGGCUCAAUAGCAACUCCUCUGACAUGUGCCUUGAAGAACUGGAAAAAGUUUGACCCGGAGACUCUGAAAAAGAAAAAUUUAAUUUUCUUUUGCACAAAAUCCUGGCCACUACGUAAUCUGUCAGAUGGAGAGUGAUGGCCAUCUGAAGGCUCUCCAGCUUACAAUACUAUUCUCCAAUGAGGCCUAUUUGGUAGACGAGAAGGGGAAUGGUCAGAGGUGCCUUGUGUCAGAUCCUCUUUACGAUGAGGGAAGACACUACACCGAGGAAGGCUUGUGGACUUUCUCAGUACAUUAUGCCAACUCCCUCAGGACCUAGGUGCCCACCAUAUCCUGGCCCAACUGGGUCAGACCCUCCAGAAGUUAAUCAGCCUUCUCCAAUACCACCCAAGGCUCCUCCUCUUCCCCCUCCAGUGCCAAAGUUAUAUCCCUCUCGACUUCCUGUACAAGAAGUGGCAAACAGAGAAUGGGGACCGAUACAGGUUCAUACAUACAUCUAUUUCACUUCAGGACUGAAGGCAAAUAAAACCAGAUUUGGGAAAACUGGCUGAUGACCCAGAUAUAUUGAGGUCUUUCAGGGUCUCAUGCAGUCCUUUGAGUUAGCCUGGAAGGAUGUCAUGUUAUUACAAAAACAGACAUUGACUAU
RNAcentral lists this long non-coding RNA (4661 nucleotides) under Sus scrofa (pig). RNAcentral describes it as "lncRNA (ENSSSCG00000060030.1)". Lineage: Eukaryota; Metazoa; Chordata; Mammalia; Artiodactyla; Suidae. The record is from RNAcentral.